CAGCGAGUUCCCGUCGGGAGCUUUCUUGCAAGUUUCCCUCUGAAGCCGAACAGUCAGGAGUAUUUCCGUUUGACGUGUUCUGUCUGCUGCUGCUGGGUGCUGUGAGGAGAGCUCCGGCAAGCUCAGAAGUCCCGACAUGGGUGUUGUGACCUAUGAUGAUGUGCAUGUGAACUUCACUCAGGAAGAGUGGGCUUUGCUGGAUCCUUCCCAGAAGAGUCUCUACAAAGAUGUGAUGCUGGAGACCUACAGGAAUCUUGCUGCUGUAGGCAACAAUUGGGAAGACCAUAAUAUUGAAGAACAUUUUCAAAGUUCUAGAAGACAUGGAAGAGAGAAGCCUGGCAUAACUGUCCUCUAAGAGGCUACACCCAGCAGCCAAUGGAAGGAAGUGUAGAGACCCACAGUGAAACAUUAGAUGGAGCCUGGGGACUCUUACUGAAGAGCUGGGAAAAGGAUUGAAGGACCAGAAAAGGACAGGGAUUCCACAAGAAAACCAAGAGAGACAAGAUACUGAAUACACCUGGGCUCCCAGAGACUGCAUUACCAAAGAGUGAGCGCCUGCUGGACCUAGGUACCUACACACAGGUAGCAGAUAAGCAAUUUGGUCUUUAUAUGGAUACCCAAACAACUGGAAUGGAAGCUGAUCCUGAAUCCGUUUCGUGCCUGCCUAUAGAUCCAGUUCCCCUAACCAGACCAGGUCAUCUGGCCUCAGCAGGUGAGAAUGUAUCUAAUCUUGCAAUGACUUCAUGGGUCAGGGUUACGAUGGGGAUGGAGUGGGUGACUCCCUCUUCUCAAAUGAGAAAGGGAGGAAAGGGUGGAAGAUAUAUGUGAAGUGGUACUGGAAAGAGAGGGGGUACUGAUGCUGUGAUGUAGGGUGAAUAAAUUCAAAAUUAUCUUAAACUAGGGACAUACUUUACUUAUUUUUUACUUUUAUAUAGAAUAUUUCUUCUGCUAGGAAAAAAAAGCAACUGUGGAUGUAGCAGUAGAAAUGGAGAAACAUCAAUAUUAAACCUGGAAUGGAAAGACUUAAGUCUAUCCAUAAGUAUAUGUAAUAGGGAUGUAAAGAAAUUAAAUUGAAAAGGGUUAUGCUAAACCCAGAAGUCAGUCCAUAUAUUAGAAUGAAUUUCCAGCCCUGAAUUCCACUGUGUUAAGAAAUACAGAUGUGGCAUUCCAGUUGUUAAUCCCUACUAGAAUUCCUAUCUUAAUAUUUACUGAAGGUAUUUCUGUAAUCUUGUGUCUACUUUAAUAAAAAUCAGUUCUAUAC
RNAcentral lists this long non-coding RNA (1261 nucleotides) under Rattus norvegicus (Norway rat). RNAcentral's name for it is "long non-coding RNA NONRATT018706". Lineage: Eukaryota; Metazoa; Chordata; Mammalia; Rodentia; Muridae. The record is from RNAcentral.